GUCUGUAUGAAGUUAUAUAGAGUCUGACCUGCCCGUUGAAGAAAUUUGAAAGGCCGCGGUAUAUUAACUGUGCAAAGGUAGCAUAAUCAUUAGUUUUUUAAUUGAAAGCUUGUAUGAAGGGUUGGACAAAGAAAAAACUGUCUUUAAUUUUGGGUUUGAAGUUAACUUUUAAGUGAAAAGGCUUAAAUAAAUUUAAGGGACGAUAAGACCCUAUAAAUCUUUAUAUUAAAAUAUUUUUUUUGAAAAUUAAUUUUUGUCUAGAAUAAAGUAAAAUAUAUAAUAUUUUGUUGGGGUGACGAGAAUAUAAUUUUAACUGUUCUUAAAUAAAACAGAGGUAUUUGUUUUAGGUUAAUGGAUCCUUUUUAGAGAUUAAUAGAUUAAGUUACUUUAGGGAUAACAGCGUUAUUUUUUUUGAGAGUUCUUAUCGAAAAAAAAGUUUGCGACCUCGAUGUUGAAUUAAAAUUUCUCUACGGUGUAGAAGUUGUAGUGAGAAAGUCUGUUCGACUUUUAAAAUUUU
This 517-nucleotide ribosomal RNA is filed under the name Agononida vanuacerta. RNAcentral describes it as "partial 16S ribosomal RNA". It matches the Rfam family "Bacterial large subunit ribosomal RNA", at positions 1829 to 2597 of the family's 2925-position model. Lineage: Eukaryota; Metazoa; Arthropoda; Malacostraca; Decapoda; Munididae. The record is from RNAcentral.